RNAcentral lists this transfer RNA (71 nucleotides) under Cavia porcellus (domestic guinea pig). RNAcentral describes it as "tRNA-Gly (CCC) (tRNA-Gly-CCC-3-1)". It matches the Rfam family "tRNA". From Rfam's summary of the family: Transfer RNA (tRNA) molecules are approximately 80 nucleotides in length. Their secondary structure includes four short double-helical elements and three loops (D, anti-codon, and T loops). Lineage: Eukaryota; Metazoa; Chordata; Mammalia; Rodentia; Caviidae. The record is from Rfam by way of RNAcentral.
GCAUUGGUGAUUCAAUGGUAGAAUUCUCGCCUCCCAUGUGGGAGACCCAGGUUCGAUUCCUGGCCAAUGCA